Molecule: ribosomal RNA, 460 nt
Filed under: uncultured bacterium
Lineage: Bacteria
Description: partial 16S ribosomal RNA
Rfam family: Bacterial small subunit ribosomal RNA
Source: RNAcentral
CCUACGGGUGGCAGCAGUGAGGAAUAUUGGUCAAUGGCCGGAAGGCUGAACCAGCCAUGCCGCGUGAAGGUCAGUGCCCUAUGGGCGUUAAACUUCUUUUGUGCAGGAGCAAUAAUGGUCACGUGUGGCCAGACGAGAGUACCGUACGAAUAAGCAUCGGCUAACUCCGUGCCAGCAGCCGCGGUUAUACGGGGGAUGCAAGCGUUAUCCGGAUUUAUUGGGUUUAAAGGGUGCGUAAGCUGGGAGGUAAGUCAGCGGGGAAAUGCCCCCGCUCAACGGGGUGAAGUGCCAUUGAUACUGCCUUGCUGGAGUGCGGAUGCGGUGGGAGGAAGGUGUGGUGUAGCGGUGAAAUGCAUAGAUAUCACACAGAACACCGAUUGCGAAGGCAUCUCACGAAUCCGCGAUUGACGCUGAUGCACGAAAGCGUGGGUAUCAAACAGGAUUAGAUACCCGAGUAGUC